AAGAGGGGGAGCCUUCAAUAUCUCGGGAUUGUCACAGUGCUCUGAUGGGAGCGGGUGUGAGUGCAGCUCGGCCGCCUUGGCUCUCUCAUCCUUUGAGGAGCGUUCGGAAUGGCGGCGGCUCCUUGCGGCGGGAGCGGGCGUGAAGGCGGCUUCCCGUUUCAGGCAGGAGUGGUGCCUGCCGCCGCGUACUGUAAAGCCCUGACGAAGAGGGCAGUUGGAAAUGUCAGUACUCUUCAGCUUAGCUGGAGCACCGUCAGUUUUGUAGGCGUUUUCCUCGGGUUUCUCGAAGCCGCGGGUCUCGCGGCGCGUGGCAGCGGGCGCGUGCCGUGCUGCUCCUCCGACUUUCCCGCCCACCUCGAGCAGAACCCAGCACCGGUGCUGCAGGGUCUUGUCUGCUAGACUGUUCUUCUAUCGUGUUUCUCUUAAAACAAGCACAGUACUCGUUCUGGUGGCGUUUUAGCUUCAUGCUGCUCGACGAAGUGGGCAGUAGUUACGGUUCGGUUGGAGCUUGGAGUUCCGUAGCACUGUGUCUGCUCGCCCAGCUGAAGAGCCGAGCUUGGGCGGUGCAGCCUGAAAGAAGUGCCUCCUAAGGUCCUCAUACACCAGUGCUGUUCUUUCGUGUGCCUGAUGCUGCUCAGAGUUGGUUUUGUAGCUAACCAGUUAUGUGCAUACGGGGCUCAUAAUACCAUCAGGUUCUGCAAGAGGGCUGGAAUUUAACUGAAGAAUAUUGUGGCAAGCACUGAUGAGAUGGGAAGGCACAACAGUCGUGGGAAGAUCAAUGGUAGCUGCUUAAGAUUCAGCAAGUGUCAGUGAAUGUCUGUGGGUGUGAGCUUUUCAUCAUGGAGGAAUUCAGUGAGAUACCUUUGCUUCCAGCGCACUUUGAUGUCAGAUGCCAUUUGGUCAGACUGCUGCCAUCUGUUGCACAUCAACAAAAAGCAAUGGAAUAUUGAUACGCAAGGGGAGUUUUGGAGAACACUGCCAAGCAAAAACUUAUCAAGGCUUUCCAUAUAAAGAGGAGCCCAAAAGAGUAAGAUGAAAUAUUGCUAUAUGAUACAUUGAGGAUGACAGAGUUUUAUGGUUCAUAUCAAGAAUAAGAAAAAUAUGACAGCAACUAAACAUAAAAAGCUGAUCUCAGAUGACUGGCUGCAGUUUUAAAUGAAACAUACUGAGACAUAUCAGUGCAAAAGAAUAGAUGGAUGGCAAGGCUGUUAAACUUCUGUCGUGUAUACAAAGUUGAAUUAAGUACUGUUCCUCAGUUUGAGUCCUACAAAAUGUUCUAUGUUGAUAAUUCAGAAUGUCAAACAUUUUCAAAUAAUAUUUGGGUAAAUGUAUCUCAAAAUUGUGGAGAAAGAACACUUGCAAUUUUUUAAUGUAACAGUAUGCCUGCAAGUUGCUUCAUCUUCAAAAUGCUACAUUCUCCUUCAGUUUCUACCCAUGUUUUUCUUUUUACUUUGUGGUAUCUGACUUUCAUUACUAUUCUUUUUUAACUUGUUUCCUAUUAAGUAGUGUUUGCUUUUAUUUGAUGCAUUUCUUAAUUGUUCUUCAUGAAGAUUCUCCUGAGCAAUUAUGUCACACUAUAAACUUCCAAGGAAGAGGUUUAGCACGCAGCAUAAGCCAGUGUUCUCCCCUUUCUCUUCUCUUCCUUUGGCUGCUACAUUUUAUCGGUCUUUCUGGCAGUUUCUCAGUUGGACAAACCAAACAAAUAGGGCUGGGUCAUUGCUACAAGAGGGGCGUUUGUGUGCAUGCACACAUUUGCAGGCUUCACUUCAUUGUGACUUCUCUGCUGCAUACUUGGCCUAAUUUAGACAUGAUGGGGAAUACUGGAUUCUUUCCUGAAUCAGUAGCUACAGGUUUUUUUUGUUUUUUUUUGUUUGUUUGUUUGUUUGUUUUGUUUUGCUGGACCAUUGCAUUAAAUUGAUGUUCAGAGAACUGCAAAUGCUGUGACCUAAAUCAUGAUAAAAAUAGGAAACAGCACAGUAGAACAGAGUAAGAUAGGGAAUAAGCUGUUAAGUUGCUUACUGAAUCUUCUGGAACAUCAUGAUUUUGGAGGAGACAUCAGAAAUUAUCUAAGUAGCUCUGGCUGUUGGUUGUCAGGAAGAGUAGUACAGCCUCCUACUUGGAUUAAUUCUACCAUUCAUCAUCAGGCUCUAAUUCAUGUCAUGAAAUCAGCAGAAAUUUGCCUAUGAGUAUCUUGAAGAAACAAACCUAAUGAAGAAACCCAGAUGAAGCCAAUUAAGUAUUUUCUUUGAUAGUUUUUCUUUGCCUUAAGUACUGAAAAAUAAACCGAUGUAAAAAGCAUUUUGUAUCACUUCAGCGUAAGAAAACUACUUUUAGGGAUUUCACAGAUGUCAACUCAGGUUCUGUCAAGUCAGUUUGGGUUGUGUCAGUCCCACUCUGUUUCAUAACAGGACAUGAGCAAUGCAAGGUGACAUUAUGUUGCAGAUGGGGAAUAAUAUCUAAGGCUUCCUCAAACUUACAGCAGAAUACAUGCCAUUUUUUCACAAAGCAGAUGGAUUCAGCAGAGAAGGCUUUUAAACAGAAACAGCUCUGCUGAUGUCCUUAGAACUGUUUUCCUGAUUUUUUUUUUUUUUUUUUUUUUUUUCCUGUUUAUUUGUCUUUAAGGUAAUCCUGUCGGUAAAUAUAGUACAGAUAGGAAUAGAUUUUUAAACCAAACUAAACUGCUACAGUUACCUGAAAUGCUGUAGUAAACAGGUAAUUACACUUUUUCCUUUUGUUACACAGUAAUGUAUCCUCCCAAGUGGAACAGCUUUAUCAGAUGAUAUACCUGAGGAUGAUGUGGCUGUAGCAUUUUUUUCAAGUCACUUCUAAAAAUUUCCUUGCAUAUUCGUAUUUUUUCCCUUCAUUUUUCUAUUUCAACUUUUAACUCAUUAGUUUAAAAUAAAUUUAAAAAAAUAUCUAGGAAUCCUUAUGAGUGCUUAGAGAAUUCUGAAGUGUUUUUACUUUUUUAUGCUGAGGUUUCAUUUUCUUUGCAAGGUGUUUUUAAACUGUCUAAGAAAUGCAGCCAUACAAACCACUCAGUUGCUCAUUUACUCUUUGUCCCUUCAUAUCUUUAUUCUUUUGUUUAUGUGUGCACACCAUUAGCUGGCCAUAGUCUAUGACAUGCAUUACAUGUUCCUAGUUCUUGUUCAGAGAUUAUUCUUGUAUCUUUAAUGUAAUCUGUAUCUUUUUUUUUUUUUUUUUGCAUUGUCUUUCUGCUCAUAAUUCUGUAUCUACUGAGACACAACUUUAUUUUUUCUCUAGAGUCACCCCAUAGUUACUGCAUGUACUCUAGAAUAACAUAAUUAAGAUCUAACGUAGGUUAUAGGUUUUCAUUGCUACUGUUUGUGAACUGUGGUUUAGCUAAAUAUGGUAUAUAAUGCACUGAAAUAAUUCUUUGAGAGCCUGAGAGAUUCUCAUUUUAUGCAGCUGGUUUUCUAAUCAACACAGAGCCCCUUCAUAUGUAUUACUUGAUUUGGAUAUUCUGCAAGGAAUACCGCUUAGGUUUCCUAUACUUCUGGAUGUUAUCAGGAGUUUACCUUAGGAGGGAGCAUGAGAGCUUAUAAUUCCAAAGCACCUGCUUUUUCUUGCCCUGUCACUCUGUGCACAUACAGGUGUGUACUGAGAAAGGAGCAUCCAGAAGGCAGAUCUGUGUAACAACUGGUGAGAAGGCAAAGAAUGACAAGUGAAUGUAUUGGAUGGAUCCAGUGAAGUAUGAUUUGAAUGGGACAGGAUAGGCUUUUUCUCAUUCUGUUUCUUCUUUGAACAUCUAAUUGAUCCCUCUGAUUCUCCUUUAAGAGGAAUUCUUUCCCAGAGCUGCAAGGCCAGUCUCCUUUCAAGGUUAAUUGCAAAUGUGGUGAGAGACAGACUAGCUUGGGGCAGCUCCAGUGAUACUGUAAUUAGUCUCAGAAGGAAGGCAGAAGGGCAACUGCCAGGAAGAGUGUACCCAAAUCUAUAUUGUGCUCAAAGGCCUGCGUCAUAGGGGAGAUUUUGGCCAUACUGCAAAUGUGGCACCUGUAUUGUCAGAGAAAGCAGGAGUGUGUGUGUGUGCUGCUAUGUGGGGUGGCCAUGGCUGCCCACUUCUUCCUGUGUUUUCUUUCUCCAUGAGUGUUUGGCGGCUCGGGGCUUUGCUGUGAUUGCAUCAUAGUGUGAAGCAUUUUUGAAAAUAAAUUAUGUCAAUGUAAGCCUGUUUACAGUGUGUCUCAAAUCAGCUUGGGAGUAGUGAUUGCUUCAGAAAAUGUUUGCUCUUUGUGUUUUAAAAAAAAAAAAAGUAAUUGGAGUGUUGGGGUUUAAUUUGCAGUGCAACAGGUGCUGCAGUUCUGGGCCGUUUUCAAUCUCUGCCAUCACUGUUGGGCAAAUUGACAUGGUUCAGUGCUGCAGCACAUUGUUUUCUCUUUUGCUUUAAUCUGUGUUGCUCUUCUUAAUCAAGCUGCAGUUUCCAGAUUGUUUUCUGCUAUAUUUAUCAGUUUUGAAAUUCAAUAUUUAGUCUAUGGGAGGUCAAACAACAUGUAUACAGACUUGAAAUAUUAAAAUCUCUUACUGUGUUUUCAAAACAUUGAUCCAGGAAUUCUUCAGGAAUUCUCUCUCAUCUUUCCAAGCUCAAAAAUUAUCUACUUAAAUGACAAUGAAAAAUGACUAUGUAAUAAAAAUACAAUGUGCUGUCAGCAUGCAGUGCAUUAUUUAUCUUGUGCCAUUUUUCCUAAAUUAUAUUGGUCUCCACCCCCCUUUUUUCCACUUUUGAGCACUAAUCUAUUUUUCUGGUAUUGAGUCUUCAUUUGAUUUUUAUCAACCAUAUGUAACAAAUGGCAUGGAGAGAAUAGGAGUUUAAUAGAAGGAGGUUUUUGCUAUAGUUUUUCUUCUGAAAGCCAAAAAUAACUUCAGUAAGUGGAUGGUAGUCCCUGUUCAUAGGUUUAUCUCUAUGUUCCUUUGGUUCUGGGUGGUAGGUUUUUACCUCACUUAUAUUUUCUCACAAUACGUAUCUAUUCAACCACAAAUAAAAGUAUUACUGUAAUUCUGUUUUUUGUGCCAAUACCUGCUGCUAUCUCAACUAUUACUCCCUCUAUAAUGAUGUAAAAGCUGAUGCGUUUCACAUAACUUGGUUUUUAUGAGCUCAUUUUCCCACAUAGAAGAAUGGCUAAGUGGGUAGCCAAAGAGCUUAUUCAAGCUAAAUAUUCCCAUGGUUAACUGGUGUUGAUGAGGACAGGUACCACGUCUGCUCAGUGUGAUGUCUGUCAGUGAUGAAAACAAAAAUUAGAAUUUGUUUACACCUUUUAUCUGGUUAUCACUACGCAUCUCUCAUGCAUAAAAUGCUUUUUUUCUGAUUUCCCCAAAAUGCUGUUAGUUAAGUAUGAAGCAUAACAGCUUAAAUAUUAUUUGUAGAUUUUUCUGAAGACUUAUAUUGGAUGCCUGACUGCGCUUCAGCAGAAGGCAGAAAAAGUAACUAAUGAGAUUUUCAUUGUAAAACUGCACUAUCGGCUGUCAAUGGAAUUGACUGAGAUGCAUAUAAAAAUAAAUUAGAAUUUCUUGUACAUUAAAAUUAAUGUAGAAAUGUCAAAAAGCAAAUUUGAGAAGGAAAAACAGGAAAUGCAAAUAAAAAU
Long non-coding RNA from Lagopus muta (rock ptarmigan), 5594 nucleotides. RefSeq lists it as uncharacterized. The transcript has 4 exons. The record is from RefSeq and is a predicted model, not a curated record. NCBI's taxonomy places the organism in Eukaryota, Metazoa, Chordata, Aves, Galliformes, Phasianidae.